Molecule: small nucleolar RNA, 77 nt
Organism: Callithrix jacchus (white-tufted-ear marmoset)
Lineage: Eukaryota; Metazoa; Chordata; Mammalia; Primates; Cebidae
Gene: U3
Rfam family: Small nucleolar RNA U3
About the family: Small nucleolar RNAs (snoRNAs) are involved in the processing and modification of rRNA in the nucleolus. There are two main classes of snoRNAs: the box C/D class, and the box H/ACA class. U3 snoRNA is a member of the box C/D class.
Source: Ensembl
AAGACUAUGCUUUCAGGAAUCGUUUCUAUAGUUUGUUACCAGAGAAGUUUCUCUGAAUGUGUAGAACACCGAGAAAU